This is a long non-coding RNA of Triticum aestivum (bread wheat), 2178 nucleotides long. RefSeq lists it as uncharacterized. Lineage: Eukaryota; Viridiplantae; Streptophyta; Magnoliopsida; Poales; Poaceae. The transcript has 4 exons. The record is from RefSeq and is a predicted model, not a curated record.
CACCUUACCCGCCGCCACGUCCUGAGCCGCCCAUCUAUGCCGCCGCCGACGACGGCCUGGCUCCUCCUCCACCCAUGCGCCCCCUCCCAAUCUCCAUAGCCUCCAACAACCAACUCCAUCUCCUGCCUCCUGCAACUAGUCCUGCCAGUGCGCCGCGUCCGCCGCCAGUGAAUGCCGUCCGCAAGGACUGCCCCUGGCCCCUCUGCUCCGGCGCUCCUCGGUCGUCCCCGGCCCUUUGCCUGGUCGCUAGGGACGUGCUGCUCCACGCCUGCUCCUGCCGGUGGCCGCCGCCUGCCGCGCCGGCUCUGGCGCUUUGCUCCUGCCAAUCCCGGGCUGCUCGCCUGCUCGGCCGGACUCUGCCGCCCAGGACAGGACUUGCUGUCAACAAACAGCAAGCAGGCUGGGACAGGGAAAAAGAAGAGGAAGAUAUAUUUCAUUGCAAGUUUCAACACCCAGUGUUUCAGUUGGACUGAAUCAACUCCAGAAAUUGGAACAACCAUAGAUUGAACCACCGCCUUUGGCUUCAAACAACCCGCCUUCAAUCUCAACUCGAGAAAAGAGACAUACCAUUUGUCCAGAAGUAUCAAGCAUUGGAUGUAAAGUGGACAACCUAUUCGGUACUGAAACAAUAUAUGUAGCAUGUAUGAAGCUGAAUCAUGCUUAUAACACUGAAGAGCACAGUAACUUCCAUAAUGCAAGUAAGUAGCUGCAAUCUUCCAGGAUUUUUUAUAAAUAAAUCAGCAACAUGCCACUCACCUAAGUUGUCUUUUCAGCGUAUCCUACCAUGCGCCAAUGAGGCAAGUGGUAGUGUAUCCUAAAAAUCCCCUUUUCCUGAAGGUGUAAACACAUGCAGCAACUGAUCGUGUGCAUUAGAAUGCACUGUUUGAUAAUUACUCUCUUAGGCCCUGCUUGCUAACUUUGUAAAAAUAUGCGACCGGCUACCCUUCAACAAUUGCAAGUCACUUGGGGACUGUUUGGUUUCCAGCCAAAUGUUGCCAGACCUAUGGUUAGGCACACAUAAUUUCUGAGGUGAGUGAGUGUUCGGUUGGCUGACACAGUUGUGACUUGCGACUUUACUAGUCACAUGAUUAAGGAGUAUAUUUUGGCCACACUUUUGUGGCAAGCCACACUCUGUCCUGAGGGGUAACAAUUACUACUUUUGGCUUAGUUGUGGCAAAGUAAGCUUUUAACCAAACUAGGGUGUUAAAUUGGUCUUAAGUUUCAAUCUAGUAUUGUAGAUCAUCACAUAUGUUCUCUGUUUCUUGUUCAAUGAUGUCUUAUCUGACUUGUUAAUCAGUCCAACUUAAUAUCCCUUUUCCUGUUAUCCUUAGAACAAAUAGAUAUGACGUGUAUGCAGUGCAGCCCACUAAUUAUUUAGAUUGCAUUGCAAACGCCCUUUUAUACAUGCUUUUCAUGUUUCAUUCAGGUGGCUGCACAUAUCCUCCAGGUUUCUGUAAUUGGGAAGGAGUGUAUUUCCAGGCGAUGGAUCGAGGUUGGAUGAGUCAACCAAGAGCUAGUGCUGCUUACAAAGAUGGUGUCGAACAAUUUCUGUCUUUUGCAUUCCAUGAUGUUCCAGCUGGUGAUAGAAUUCUUUGUCCUUGUGUAAAUUGCCGAAAUAAAGCUAUGCAGAGUUAUGAUGGAGUGAAAACUCAAUUGAGAUGUGAUGGUAUUCUUCAAGGUUACACUAAGUGGGUUUGCCAUGGAGAGGAUUACAGUGAACCAUCAUUUGCAUUUGCUCAUGUAUCAGAUAACAGUGGCAAUUUUUCUAUUCCUGGCAUCCCAAGGAAUGUUGUUGGAGAAGGCAACCAUGGAAGGAUGGAUGACAUGCCAGGACUCUUAAGUGCUGUCUUUGCUAUGGCUAACAGUUGUGAAUCUUUAUCAAGCACAUCUGAUGGUGAAUUAGAUGCGUUGAAUUUGAGAAUAUGGUACCUAAUUCAGUUGAGGAUGAGAAUGCAGAUGCUCAAACAAGGAAGAAACCUAAUACGUAUGCAAGCUUCUUGGAGGAUGCAAACACAGAGUUAUACCCUCGAUGUAAAGCAUUUUCUAAGUUGUCAUUUCUCAUCACCUUGUAUCACAUGAAAUGCUUACAUGGAUGGUCACAAGAAUCAUUUACAACGCUACUUGGUGUUUUGUCUGAUGCACUUCCACAGGCACAACUACCAAAGAAGUACUAUGAGG